CCCCAAAGUGGGGAAUAACUGUUCGAAAAGGGCAGCUAAUUCCGCAUGUGGUCCGUUCUUCGGUGGGCGGACGAAAGGCUUAGGCCGCUUUGGGAGGGGCCCCGCGUCCGAUUAGCUAGUUGGUAGGGUAAGGGCCUACCAAGGCGAUGAUCGGGUAGCUGGUCUGAGAGGAUGAUCAGCCACACUGGCACUGAGACACGGGCCAGACUCCUACGGGAGGCAGCAGGGAGGAAUAUUGGACAAUGGGGGAAACCCUGAUCCAGCGACGCCGCGUGGGCGAUGAAGGUCUUCGGAUCGUAAAGCCCUUUUCUGGGGGAAGAGAGAGGACGGUACCCCAGGAAUAAGUCUCGGCUAACUACGUGCCAGCAGCCGCGGUAAAACGUAGGAGGCGAGCGUUAUCCGGAUUUACUGGGCGUAAAGCGCGUGCAGGCGGUGGUGCGAGUUGGGCGUGAAAUCUCCCGGCUCAACUGGGAGGGGUCGUCCAAUACUGCAUCACUAGAGGGCAGGAGAGGGAAGUGGAAUUCCCGGUGUAGCGGUAAUAUGCGCAGAUAUCGGGAGGAACACCAGUGGCGAAGGCGGCUUUCUGUCCUGGUCCUGACGCUAAGACGCGAAAGCUAGGGGAGCGAACGCGAUUAGAUACCCCGGUAGUCCUAGCUGUAAACGAUGGAUACUAGGUGUUGGUGGUAUUGACCCCACCAGUGCCGAAGCUAACGCGUUAAGU
Molecule: ribosomal RNA, 721 nt
Filed under: uncultured bacterium
Lineage: Bacteria
Description: bacterial SSU rRNA
Rfam family: Bacterial small subunit ribosomal RNA
Source: RNAcentral